Non-coding RNA from Pseudomassariella vexata, 108 nucleotides. NCBI's taxonomy places the organism in Eukaryota, Fungi, Ascomycota, Sordariomycetes, Amphisphaeriales, Pseudomassariaceae. The record is from the annotation of a RefSeq genome assembly.
CGUUUCUUAGAGUGGUUAGCGUGCCAGUCUUAUACUCUUUGGUCCUAUGUGAUUAAAUUGUAUGCAGAGGCAUCUGGAAGUCGCGGGUUCAAGUCCCGCCAGAAAUAG